Molecule: ribosomal RNA, 253 nt
Filed under: uncultured bacterium
Lineage: Bacteria
Description: partial 16S ribosomal RNA
Rfam family: Bacterial small subunit ribosomal RNA
Source: RNAcentral
CACGUAGGGCGCAAGCGUUGUCCGGAAUUAUUGGGCGUAAAGAGUUCGUAGGCGGUUUGUCGCGUCGUUUGUGAAAACCCGGGGCUCAACUUCGGGCUUGCAGGCGAUACGGGCAGACUUGAGUGUUUCAGGGGAGACUGGAAUUCCUGGUGUAGCGGUGAAAUGCGCAGAUAUCAGGAGGAACACCGGUGGCGAAGGCGGGUCUCUGGGAAACAACUGACGCUGAGGAACGAAAGCGUGGGUAGCAAACAGG